RNAcentral lists this ribozyme (77 nucleotides) under Crocodylus porosus (Australian saltwater crocodile). Its description in RNAcentral is "Mammalian CPEB3 ribozyme (ENSCPRG00005014627.1)". It matches the Rfam family "Mammalian CPEB3 ribozyme". From Rfam's summary of the family: The mammalian CPEB3 ribozyme is a self cleaving RNA located in the second intron of the CPEB3 gene which belongs to a family of genes regulating messenger RNA polyadenylation. This ribozyme is highly conserved and found only in mammals. Lineage: Eukaryota; Metazoa; Chordata; Crocodylia; Crocodylidae. The record is from RNAcentral.
GGUCGCAAGUUUGAGGCCAUAGCAGAAGCGCUUACCGUGCGGCCUUGUCAGAUUCUAACAAAUCUGUGAAUUCUGCU